Molecule: non-coding RNA, 30 nt
Filed under: Mus musculus (house mouse)
Lineage: Eukaryota; Metazoa; Chordata; Mammalia; Rodentia; Muridae
Source: RNAcentral
UAAUCUUUCAGGGUUAUUUGUCUGCUACUU